UCCAUUCUUAAUUAUAUCUCGUUAUUGAUCCAAAGAAGGUUUACAUCGAACACGAGGGAAAAAAAAUAAAAAGAAGAGAAGACGAAGCAUUUGCCUUUCCGACGACGCGGAGUCACGUGCCGAGAUAAGUGCUCCUCAAUUUGGAGACAAUCGAAUUCCUCCUCUGCAUACAAUUCUCGAGGUAACGGUGAGACACAACACGUGACAUCACGUAUCCUGGCUUGACCGAGGUAGCUUGUUAAACAGGUGACCAUUUAUUUUCCUCUCUCAUUUUCUUCCCAUUGUCGUUCUCUCGUACGAAGGUGGAAAAAAAAAGAAAGAAAGAAAGAACUCCUUUUUCCAGCUUCUCUUCGAAGCGAUAAAUCUCGCGACUUUUCUUUUUCCAACGUUCUAACGUUACGUGGAAGGGUUAUACCCUUCCUCGACCCUUCUAUAACUCAGGUCAGAAGAGCCAGUAACCAGCCUGGCCACCACCACCACCAUCACCACCGUUUUAAAAUCUUCAGGGUGAUGUUCGCGAAAGGUGUAACCCACCCUCGUGAGGGACGUCGAUUUGCAAGCAUAACGCGUGCGGCAAAGCCUCGUGCAGGGUUUUAAUUACUUUAGACAAAUUCGAAACCGGAGACUUUGGCGACGCUGGUGGCCCUCUCGUGUUACCUUGCCUCGAAGACUCGUGCUUGUUAGGCCCUUGCCACGCGGUGGUAUGCACCGCGUUGUCGGUGGUAUACGCCGCUGUCGAGACGUUGACUGGUUUAUUUGGUGGUAUCUUAAGUCUUUGCCCGCUGGCAAAAAUUGAAAAUCGAGGAUGCGCUUCUACACGCGUGGAUCGUGUUUCCCAGUGUCUAGAAUCGGUCUUCGAUCGACGCUUGUUCUCUUAUUUUUCGAGAUAAUUUUUAAAACAAAUUCGCGAAUAAUUUCUAUCUCUUUAUGGAUCGAGUCACGGUGAGUGAAGAUAGCGUUGUACGAAGUAGAACGAGACGCGAUAUCUGGAAAGAUUGCAACAAGCCAAUCAGGAUUUAGGAGUGUAACGUAAGAUUCGAUGGACAGGUGGCGUAAGAGUAGAGUGAGGUUACGUCGUACGAUUAUUUUUCACGCGUGAAAACAAGCUCUAAAAAUAUAUUCAGGUUCACGUUCAAGAGUGAGCGAUUUUGCUCGUGCGCACGUGCGUUUUUCUUCUUUCUUUUUUCUUUCCUUUUUGCGAGAAAUCUCGAAUGCCUUAAAAAUUGUCGACGUGACAUAAGUUUAAAGUUUGUGUCGCAUUCCCUUCGGGCAGAAAUCACUCGUUCACUUUCAAAUAUGCAAAUCGGUGUUCACGUUAUGCGUCACUGCACAGAGGAAUUUCGAGUGGAAAGUUUACCAAUGAAAUAUGUUACCUUUACCGUAAUGAUAUAAUUAGUCGUAUAAAUACCUCGACAGGUACACGUGUGAUUUUGUAUAAUCUUCAAGAUAAUAUCUUCAAUCGACUAACCUAACCUAAAAUUCCAAAGAAUCAUCCUUCUGGAUGAGAAGAUAAAAGAAAGAAAUCAUUUUCAAAGUGCUAUGGAAGAAAAUUCUCGGUAUUGCCCAAGCGCUUUAUACAUCCAACGUGUCUUAUGGUGCACUGCCACUGUCGAGGCAGGUUAAUGUUCUAUCGUUACUUAUUGGUUGUUGCUGCUGUUGUGCUGCGGUUUCGUUCCUUUGAUUCUGUCUAUGGUCCCCAGAUUCACCGUGUAAAUAGAGAGGAAUGCAAGAUAUUCGUCUUAAAUACCGGCUCGAGAUUUCUGGAUAGAAAUGUUGAUAGCGAAUUCUUUCAUCGUUCCUUGCUGGAUGCAACCAAUAGUAGAGAUUUUCUAAAUAAUAGAGGUCAAACAUUGGAUAUAUAAAAGUAACAGUUAAGGUUUAUUUAUUAUAAAGAUUUAUUAAGAUAAACCGCCUUUUGCUUUUGUCUAAUAUUCAAAUUUCAAUUGCUUAUACCUUAAUAAAUAAGCCUUAACGACCUUUUUUACGCACCUCUUACGUUUGUUUGACCUCUGGAAUCGAUCUUUCAAAGGAGUCCCUGCAUUAAGAGCCUGCAUAUGCCCGACGCACAAAUGGCAGAAUCUCAGCCGCUUGAACGUUAAUAACGGUUUUGCGAGAAACAUCGCACCAGUGGAAGAAGAUAAAGAAAAAUGAACCGUCAUUCUGUAAACGCGUUACAUAGCAACGAGAUUUCUUGAACCGUUUCCAAUAAUAAUAAACUGCAGGAAGAACUGGGUGUGCACCAAGUAAACGCUUUUAUAGUAUCCUGACGGUAAAUGUGGGCAGCCUUUGUCCGAAUAACUGUACUUUUAUUCCUUCUUCCCCUCCCCCUUUUCUUGUAUUUUACGAUAAAUAUUAUUCUUAUCCUUUUUCCACACUCGAAAUAUAAAAAUAUCAUAUGCUGCGUAUAUAUUAAUUAUAUAUACAAUCAAUCGGAUAUAGGGAUAUAUUCUAAAUAUUCGUCAAAAUUCACCAAAGAGAAAAUUCGCUAAACUCGUGAAACGAAGUUUAUAUGCAUUUACAAUUUUUUUAUCUGUACAAAUAAAUAGUGACAAAAAUCUCUCUCUCUCUCUUUCUUUUCCUUUUUUCAAUUUUAGAAACAAUUUCAUUCGAGGAUACUUUUCACAAUGAGACAAAGGGGACAAUACGCUAUCUCUUUUACCACUAAAAUGAUAAAUGGUUCGAUUUUUCUGUGACGAAUUUCCCCAUUACCUGCCACGUUGGACAAAAGCACGUCACGUGACACGAUAUAGUGCCUGGCUGAAGCUUGGUCACGUGACACAUCUUUGUCCAAUGCGCCACUAGUAAUGAAGAUAAGUGUGACAUGACUCCUAGGGAAAUUUCUUCUCGCAGAGAAAUUGAGCCAUUUUUAACGAAGAAACCGCGCCAUUCUUCCUUCUAUUCCACAAACCUAGAAAUCGAAUAUGAUGUAAAAAUAUUAAAAAAAAUUAAACAUUUUAUAAUUAAAAACCUGUACACAAAAAAAAUGAAUAAAAA
Long non-coding RNA from Apis mellifera (honey bee), 2994 nucleotides. RefSeq lists it as uncharacterized. The transcript is spliced from 3 exons. NCBI's taxonomy places the organism in Eukaryota, Metazoa, Arthropoda, Insecta, Hymenoptera, Apidae. The record is from RefSeq and is a predicted model, not a curated record.